Molecule: ribosomal RNA, 253 nt
Filed under: uncultured bacterium
Lineage: Bacteria
Description: partial 16S ribosomal RNA
Rfam family: Bacterial small subunit ribosomal RNA
Source: RNAcentral
UACGUAGGGGGCAAGCGUUAUCCGGAUUUACUGGGUGUAAAGGGGGCGCAGACGGCAAUGCAAGCCAGGAGUGAAAGCCCGGGGCCCAACCCCGGGACUGCUCUUGGAACUGCAUGGCUGGAGUACAGGAGGGGCAGGCGGAAUUCCUAGUGUAGCGGUGAAAUGCGUAGAUAUAUAGAGGAACACCGGUGGCGAAAGCGGCUCUCUGGCCUGUAACUGACACUGAGGCUCGAAAGCGUGGGGAGCAAACAGG